GAAACUACGCCUACCAUGAAGCUGAAGUUACUAGUAAUCGCAGAUCAGAAUGCUGCGGUGAAUGCGUUCCCGGGUCUUGUACACACCGCCCGUCACACCACGGAAGUUGGGGGCGCCCGAAGCCACUUAGCUAACCCUUUUGGGAAGCGAGUGUCGAGGGUGAAAUCAAUAACUGGGGUGAAGUCGUAACAAGGUACC
RNAcentral lists this ribosomal RNA (198 nucleotides) under uncultured bacterium. Its description in RNAcentral is "partial 16S ribosomal RNA". It matches the Rfam family "Bacterial small subunit ribosomal RNA", at positions 1307 to 1500 of the family's 1533-position model. The record is from RNAcentral.